This 465-nucleotide ribosomal RNA is filed under the name Vreelandella stevensii. RNAcentral describes it as "partial 16S ribosomal RNA". It matches the Rfam family "Bacterial small subunit ribosomal RNA", at positions 338 to 795 of the family's 1533-position model. The record is from RNAcentral. Lineage: Bacteria; Pseudomonadati; Pseudomonadota; Gammaproteobacteria; Oceanospirillales; Halomonadaceae.
CCUACGGGUGGCUGCAGUGGGGAAUAUUGGACAAUGGGGGCAACCCUGAUCCAGCCAUGCCGCGUGUGUGAAGAAGGCCCUCGGGUUGUAAAGCACUUUCAGUGAGGAAGAACGCCUGGUGGUUAAUACCCAUCAGGAAAGACAUCACUCACAGAAGAAGCACCGGCUAACUCCGUGCCAGCAGCCGCGGUAAUACGGAGGGUGCGAGCGUUAAUCGGAAUUACUGGGCGUAAAGCGCGCGUAGGUGGCUUGAUAAGCCGGUUGUGAAAGCCCCGGGCUCAACCUGGGAACGGCAUCCGGAACUGUCAAGCUAGAGUGCAGGAGAGGAAGGUAGAAUUCCCGGUGUAGCGGUGAAAUGCGUAGAGAUCGGGAGGAAUACCCGUGGCGAAGGCGGCCUUCUGGACUGACACUGACACUGAGGUGCGAAAGCGUGGGUAGCAAACAGGAUUAGAUACCCCAGUAGUC